UACGUAGGGUCCGAGCGUUGUCCGGAAUUAUUGGGCGUAAAGAGCUCGUAGGCGGUUUGUCGCGUCUGCUGUGAAAUCCCGAGGCUCAACCUCGGGUCUGCAGUGGGUACGGGCAGACUGGAGUGCGGUAGGGGAGAAUGGAAUUCCUGGUGUAGCGGUGGAAUGCGCAGAUAUCAGGAGGAACACCGGUGGCGAAGGCGGCUUUCUGGACAGAUACCGACGCUGAGGCACGAAAGCUAGGGGAGCAAACAGG
Molecule: ribosomal RNA, 253 nt
Filed under: uncultured bacterium
Lineage: Bacteria
Description: partial 16S ribosomal RNA
Rfam family: Bacterial small subunit ribosomal RNA
Source: RNAcentral